GACGAACGCUGGCGGCGUGCCUAAUACAUGCAAGUCGAACGCAGUGGGGACGGGUGCGUAACACGUGGUUAACCUCCCAUCAGAGGGGAUAACACUUGGAAACAGGUGCUAAACCGAUACGGAUGGAGGGACCCGCGGUGCAUUAGCUAGUUGGUGAGGUAACGGCUCACCAAGGCCACGAUGCAUAGCCGACCGGAGAGGGUGAGCGGCCACACUGGGACUGAGCCACGGCCAAGACUCCUACGAGAGGCAGCAGUAGGGAAUCUUGGGCAAUGGACGAAAGUCUGACCGAGCAACGCCGCGUGAGUGAAGAAGGUUUUCGGAUCGUAAAACUCUGUUGUUGGAGAAGCGGUAUCUAACCAGAAAGCCACGGCUAACUACGUGCCAGCAGCCGCGGUAAUUC
Molecule: ribosomal RNA, 403 nt
Filed under: uncultured bacterium
Lineage: Bacteria
Description: partial 16S ribosomal RNA
Rfam family: Bacterial small subunit ribosomal RNA
Source: RNAcentral